AUUGCACCUCUCAAGCACUGCUUGGUAUUGGGGUCGCCCGCCGUGGCCUCCCCGGAUCUCAGUGGCGGUCCAGCGAGACUUCAAGCGUAGCAAGAUUUUACAUCCCGCUUUGGAAGCUUCCCGCUGCGUGCCAGCCAGUCAACCACCCCACACUUUCAAUGAUUGACCUCGGAUCAGGUAGGGAUACCCGCUGAACUUAA
This 200-nucleotide unclassified non-coding RNA is filed under the name soil metagenome. Its description in RNAcentral is "partial contains internal transcribed spacer 2 and large subunit ribosomal RNA". The record is from RNAcentral.